GUGCUUGCUGGGUUGGUUGGAAGCGGUUGGCGGGCGGGCGUAUGGCGGCCAGGCCUAGAAGGCCACGGUCGCCGUGAGUGCCUUGGGGGCCAAGCUUUUUGAUGCCCUAAAUCGCCAAGGCAAGGUGGGAAGGUCAGGGACCCCCAUGGACCAUCCCUUGGGCUCAUGAUGGCGGUAGGCUAACUCACUACACAGAGAGGGCUAUCGCCGAGGCACCGCGGAGAGAGGCUUUUCCAGGGCCUGGAGGUGGUGGGCCAGGCCUAUGGAGAAAGAGAGCUUACUGCUCCGAUGCAGACGAGCAGUACAAGAUGGACAGAUUUCAUUUCCCAGAGAUGCUGAACCCUGCACAAGGUGAAAGGCGCACAGUCCCGGACCUCUCCGGACAAGUCGGAUCUGCCUAACCAGCUGCGCGAUACCCCGAUGUGAUCCUAGCUGUCUGCCAACCCAGGUAGCCCAGAAGGGCACCCGUAAAGAACCCUAUACCACCACUGAGUGUCCUCCAAGCACUAUCCACUAUCAAGAAACUCCUUUCUGCGCGGGAAGGUUGGCUUUAGGACGCACGGGAGAGGUGCGCGCGCCCCUUUUCACGAUCUCAGGCCUCCUCGAACCUCCAGAGGUGCUCACCGAGAAGCCGACUCACCCUCUGGCUCUGCAGAGAGUGGCCCCACUGCGCAAGGACUGUUGGGGCCGAAAAGGAUUAACCUUAUGAGGAGAGAAGCUGGGGUCUGAAGACCCCAAUCUCGCCUCGGGGCAAAAAGAAGGGAUGUACCUACCUUCAAACCACUGCGAACUUUCUAAAGCUCCGCGCCUCAGCUUGUGGCUCAUCAUUACUUCAUCUAGCUCACGCUACAUGAGAAAAACAGGUACGUCAGCAAGAGCAUCAUGGCUAGGGGGCGGCCAGAGACCACUGGAUCCUGCUGUUGGACUCGGAAGAACAAGGUAAAACGACCUGCUUGUUCCAGAGCGCGCUUGGAAGAGCCGAUGGACUCAGUUAAAACAGUUCUGCCAACAUCAUAUGGAGCACAAAGACAUUGGUCUAGCCAAUUUUAGGGCACACAGAGAGAGGAAAACAGGACUGUGGGUGCUGGUAAAUGCCCGUUUGAUGGAAACUGAUGCCAGCUGUCAGCAGUGAGGUGGAUGAUGGUUUUUAGUGUGUGUGGGAAAGUGCCUCAUUUUUCAGGGGAAAGCUUUAUGCCCGUGAUAGAGAUGGCAGCCCACAUCCUAUGCACUAGUACAGAAACACCAGGACUGCCCACAUUAUUAAAAACUAUGCAUUACAUAAUACAUAUCUUGGACCAGGGUUCUGCAUUAGCACUGCUCUUUCUUGCAAGAUGCGUUUGAAUCAGCUAUGGACAGUUAACAAAGCAUACGCUUCCGAGCCCCGGUCAUCUGUACAGUUACAAAUUCAUUUCAGCACGUGCUCAGCACGGACUCCAGGAGGAGCAGGGCUGCACCAAAAGACAGCUCCAUCUUGCACUUAGUGCCGAGGUUGAGCAAAUGGAUCUGCACAGAAAAUGCUCUUUAAAAUGCAUUAUGUGCAGGACUUUAAAAAGUGCUUGCUGCAGAGUGAAUUUCAAAAGGGGCCAAGUAGGUGAUGAACGACCUCAGUUGUUACCAGCUGGGGUACAAGGGGUUCUCUGUGUUUGCAGGUAAAUAAAGUGUGGUCAUAUAUUACCUUUAGACUUUCAGGAAGGAGGCUUCUAGACCAGUUGGGCAGGAAGGCAGUUUCCAGUUGCUUACAGUAUCAUAUAGAAGGGUUCUUAUUUGGAUGUAUUGGGAAGAAGAUUCUUUUGAGCUUAGAGGACUGUCCUGUGGAAAUGGCUUCACUAGUUAUUUGACAUAGCUCCAGGGGGCAAAAUGAGGGCCUAGAUGGGUGCUGUGUACAGGUAGGCUUCAGCCCAAGGAGGAAUAUUCUAGCAAGUAGGACUCUGAAGGAGAAUGGACUCGGCGUCGGCAGGAGCUAUGCUAAGUCAAAGGACAGAUGACUACAUGUUAGAUAGAGGUUUCCAUGGAGCUUGUGAAACUGCUAGAGCUAAGACAAGGUUUGACCACGGCCCUCUGUAGUUGCUCCCCCAGGGCUGUAGGAGAGGGCUUGGGGUGGGGGUGGGGGUUUCAAGCCUCCCACUCUGCCUCAGUUUCGUUCUCACUCCUGGAGCCAAGGUGUCAGUCAGGGCCAUCUAUUCAUUACAUUGGCCUCUGGGCCUCCCCUCCUGGAGCUGUCUUGGAAAUUACAAAAUAAAAUUGGCUAUUUAGUGGUCAUGAA
RNAcentral lists this long non-coding RNA (2263 nucleotides) under Mus musculus (house mouse). Its description in RNAcentral is "GNAS antisense RNA 1". The record is from RNAcentral. Lineage: Eukaryota; Metazoa; Chordata; Mammalia; Rodentia; Muridae.